GACGAACGCUGGCGGCGUGCUUAACACAUGCAAGUCGAACGGCAAGGCCCUGCUUUUGUGGGGUGCUCGAGUGGCGAACGGGUGAGUAACACGUGAGUAACCUGCCCUUGACUUUGGGAUAACUUCAGGAAACUGGGGCUAAUCCCGGAUAGGAGCUCCUGCUGCAUGGUGGGGGUUGGAAAGUUUCGGCGGUUGGGGAUGGACUCGCGGCUUAUCAGCUUGUUGGUGGGGUAGUGGCUUACCCAGGCUUUGACGGGUAGCCGGCCUGAGAGGGUGACCGGGGUCAAUGGUACUAAGGGAGGGACCAGUGGGGAACAGGGGGCAAUGGGGGGGAGUAUUGCACAGUGGUCGGGAGCCGGAGGCGGCAGCGUCGGGGUCGGGAUGACGGUCUGUGGGGUGAGAAACGCAGUCGGCUGAUACGAAGCGGUUGUGACGGUAAUGGAUGAAGAAGCACCGGCUAACUACGUG
Molecule: ribosomal RNA, 468 nt
Filed under: uncultured bacterium
Lineage: Bacteria
Description: partial 16S ribosomal RNA
Rfam family: Bacterial small subunit ribosomal RNA
Source: RNAcentral